Molecule: long non-coding RNA, 1405 nt
Filed under: Marmota monax (woodchuck)
Lineage: Eukaryota; Metazoa; Chordata; Mammalia; Rodentia; Sciuridae
Source: RNAcentral
AAACAACGAUGUGUUUUAUUUAUCUCUUUCUGUUGAGAGGACAGAUCACAAGACAGAGAACAGCAGUCCUGGUCACGCAUCAAGGUUUGGUUAGUUUCCACAAAUGCAAUGGAUGGGUGGGGCAGGGUCUGGCCGAGUUCCACUCUUAUGACCUUCAACUUCUUGCCAUGGCUCUCCAGCAGGGCUUCGUGGAGCCCUGCUGCGUCUCCAAACUGCAACACAGCUGUGGCCUCACACAUCACUCCAACACUCACACUCCAGUCAACAGGCAGAGGAAGGACAAAGGAGCUGCCCCUGCUCCCCGGACAAGGGGACCUGGGCAGAGAAGCAAAGACCUCCCACUCUCCCCGUUGUCCAUCCCAUCUCCACAAGCUGGCCCCAGCAGAACAGGCCUCCCUCAGCUGUCACCUGCCAGUGACCCAACUCCAGGAUGAGAGUCUGAGCCCAGACUGAAAUCUGAGAAGCAGGUUAGAUGGGACAGAGUGAGAGGUUCCAGAGCCCCUGGGUUAUUGCUGAGAAGAUAUGCAAGGGGCACAUUCCCCAGGGAUGGAAUAGAAGCCCUGGGCCUGGAAUCCCUGGGUACUCUGCAAAGGGGCAGGCAGAUGGGGCUCCAUGGUGCAGGACCCAAGAGGAAAGAGGCCAUGGAAGGGCGGAGGCCGCCUGACAGCAACCUUGGCUCACCAGCAACUUCUUCCCACCUCCAAUAGCUAAGAGGCCUUCCAGGCACUCGGGUCAGGGUGGAAUAUGGGAGUGAGGUUCUCGCGAAAGGACUGAAGAGUGGGUGAGGAGCAAUGAUAGAAAACUUCUCCAGCCCAGGAGAGUUGGGAGCUGGGGACUCCUGCCCGGGCACCUACUCUACCCUCAUCCCUAAAUCAGGAGGAGGGAUUGGGCUCCCAGGGGAAAAGCAAACUCCAGGAAGCAGGAGAGGAUGCAGAGCCACGGGGAGGCAGGGAGGAGCCGAUGGCAAUGGCUCAGCCCCUACCCGGGAAAGCGAGUCUACAGAUCACGAAUAUGAUACCAGCCACCAACAAGUAGCCACGAAGAUCAAGUCGACAAGACACGUGCGCGCACACACACACACACACACACACACUAGGUGGGGACCACAGGCUGCAGGUGGGGAAGCCAGGGUUAGUUGCAUCAUGAUGUAGAGGACCGGGGUUAGUGGGCACAGGAAGGGCACAAGGGACACACACAAGUUCUUGGCUUCUCCUGGGGAAGGGUCUGUUGUGGGGGUGGCUGCUUUCUGAAGCAUCGCCAUCUGCAUCUGAAGGUUGGAGCAGCUGCCUUCAGGUUCCGGAGGCUGAGAAUGGACAGAAUUAAAUGAAAAUAGAGCUCUGGCUCCUUCACCUGCCCCCUCCCACCUCAGCGCAGCCCCCUUGCCCAUUGAAAUUUCGGAAAUGAC